CGCGUAGGCGGUUGAGUAAGUCAAAUGUGAAAUCCCCGGGCUUAACCUGGGAACUGCAUUCGAUACUGCUUAACUAGAGUAUGGUAGAGGGAAGUGGAAUUCCGGGUGUAGCGGUGAAAUGCGUAGAUAUCCGGAGGAACACCAGUGGCGAAGGCGACUUCCUGGGCCAAUACUGACGCUGAGGUGCGAAAGCGUGGGGAGCAAAACA
Molecule: ribosomal RNA, 208 nt
Filed under: uncultured bacterium
Lineage: Bacteria
Description: partial 16S ribosomal RNA
Rfam family: Bacterial small subunit ribosomal RNA
Source: RNAcentral